Molecule: non-coding RNA, 95 nt
Organism: Mycena epipterygia
Lineage: Eukaryota; Fungi; Basidiomycota; Agaricomycetes; Agaricales; Mycenaceae
Source: the annotation of a GenBank genome assembly
GUCUUCGUGGAUCAGCUGGUAGAUCACUUCUGACUUAGUACUUGGAUAGUAGCGCAAUAACAGAAGAGUCGUGGGUUCGAACCCCGCCGAAGACA